AGCUUUGCGCAGUGGCAGUAUCAUAGCUAAUGAGGUUAAUCCGAAGCGUGAUUAUUGCUAGUUGAAAACUUUUCCCAAUACCCCGCCUUGACGGCUUGAAAUAUAGUCGGCAUUGGCAAUUUUUGACAGUCUCUUGUGAGA
Molecule: small nuclear RNA, 141 nt
Filed under: Chelonoidis abingdonii (Abingdon island giant tortoise)
Lineage: Eukaryota; Metazoa; Chordata; Testudines; Testudinidae
Description: U4 spliceosomal RNA (ENSCABG00000015030.1)
Rfam family: U4 spliceosomal RNA
About the family: U4 small nuclear RNA (U4 snRNA) is a component of the major U2-dependent spliceosome. The structure of U4 snRNA from yeast and human has been reported.
Source: Rfam by way of RNAcentral